CCCGCUCACCCUUUUUAGCUAAAUUCUAAUUUCCCACCUUACUUAACAUUCUUUUGGAAAAAAUGAAACCUAACCGCAAACCCAGAUCUCUCCCUUCAUCUCUCAUCUUGUUUCCUGUUCUUCUCUUCAUCCCCACUCAUUGAUGAAAAGGCCAAUGCCAAUAAUCCGGUCAUCAGGUGAGCCCAUCAUCGGAUCUAAGGAAGAACAUGUAGCUGGUGUUGAAGAAGUGUGAGCCCAUUUUAGUAUUACUUGGAAAAUGGAGUGAGCCAAGGAGGAGGACGGCGAGGAAUUGGAGGAGUCUGAUGAUGAUGACGUGGCGGAAAAUGAAGAAGAGGAGGAGGAGGAAGAAGAAGAAGGUGGAGGCAAGAACGAAAUCGAGGAUGGUUUCUUUAAUAGAAGUCGACAUCUAUCACAUGUCAUUCUAUCAGAUUGAGAGGCAAACCUUCUCUCUCUUCUUCUUCGUCGUUAGCGACCUCCGACAAGUCACUGGUCACUCUGGUCUCUGUGGCUUCUAGCGAAGGAAGGCGAGAAGAGUUCCACACCGAAACGAUGACGGAUGAGGCGUCGGGGAAUCUGGAGUACGAUUUCUAUUGGAACCCAACAAAGUGAAGGACCCAGUAAUCAGGCCACUACAUGAACUGGAGAAAAGUAACUUAAUUGGAAGAUAUUCUAACUGAAAUUCCAUUGUGGAUCAAAUGCCCCGAUUACGAUUGAGUUAGUAUCGCCAUCCUAUCCUUUUACAUUGAACUUCUGCUCUUUCCUUCUCUAACUGCUGCUAAGAAUAUCUCAGUAACUUGUGAUAUGGCUUUAAUUUCUGGUUUGAAGUAUCGAAAUAUAGGGAUAUAUGGAUUCUUGAAAUUAAGGAUUUCUUGAUUGUUUGUGGCUGAUCAGCUUGGCAUUGAAUGUGGUUUGGGGUUUUGCUCAAAUCGGUUUUAGUUGCUCUGCUCUUAACCAUUGAAAUUAUUUCUUGACUCUUGUAAUUUAGGGAUUUUUUGACUCUUGAAAUGCGUAAAAUGUAGCUUGAUUCUUUGGAGCGUAUCUCAGCUUUCCAUUUGCUGUAGCUUGUCAACAAAAGGAGGUUGAAUCCAUGGGACCAAUUGCAGAGCGUUGGAGAAUCAGAAGUAAAAGUGUGUUACAUAUAUUGAGAUAUGAAGGCCCUUGGUUGAAGAGAAGAGCUGGGUUAGGCAUGGGUAUGGUUGCAGCCUAUAAUCCAAGUCUCCAUUAUCUCAUUGAAUCUCAUGGUUUUAUUGAAGAGGAUGCAAAAUCUUGUACAAUUUCUUUGCUUCUUUAAUGUAAAGCACUUCAUUUUUUUUUUAGAAAUAGAUAAC
This is a long non-coding RNA of Rosa rugosa (rugosa rose), 1328 nucleotides long. RefSeq lists it as uncharacterized. Lineage: Eukaryota; Viridiplantae; Streptophyta; Magnoliopsida; Rosales; Rosaceae. The record is from RefSeq and is a predicted model, not a curated record. The transcript has 3 exons.